AGGCAUAUGAUGAUAAAAUACAAACUGAAACGGUUGUCGUGGUCUAUUUUUGAACACUUCGAUGUUACCCUGGGAUGGUCGCAUUUGCGAGGCAUUUGCCUGAUGCUUUC
Drosophila persimilis is the source of this 110-nucleotide non-coding RNA. NCBI's taxonomy places the organism in Eukaryota, Metazoa, Arthropoda, Insecta, Diptera, Drosophilidae. The record is from Rfam.